GACAGAGGUGCCAAGCGUUAGGCGGAAUCACUGGGCUUAAAGCGUGUGUAGGCGGGCGAUCAAGUACCUUGUGAAAUCCCACGGCUCAACCGUGGAACUGCUGGGUAUACUGGUUGUCUUGAGCCAGCUAGGGGCGAGCGGAACAGACGGUGGAGCGGUGAAAUGCGCAGAUAUCAGGAGGAACACCGGGUGGCGAAGGCGGGUCUCUGGGCCGAUACUGACGCUGAGGAGCGAAAGCGUGGGGGAGCGAACAGG
Molecule: ribosomal RNA, 255 nt
Filed under: uncultured bacterium
Lineage: Bacteria
Description: partial 16S ribosomal RNA
Rfam family: Bacterial small subunit ribosomal RNA
Source: RNAcentral